This is a non-coding RNA of Sus scrofa (pig), 6854 nucleotides long. The record is from RefSeq and is a predicted model, not a curated record. Lineage: Eukaryota; Metazoa; Chordata; Mammalia; Artiodactyla; Suidae.
CGGCUAGACGCCAUCUUGCUGGUUCCCGGCGGGUCUUGGAUGUGGCGGCCCCAGUGUUGAGGGCGUGGGCAAGGGUGGGGUGAGGGGGCGAGGCCGCGGCUGGGGCGGCGAAACUCUCCACCCCUCAGCCCCACCGCGUGGGACGGCGUGAACGAGGUGUCGGAGGGAUGUCCGCCUUCUCUGAGGCGGCGCUGGAGAAGAAGCUGUCGGAGUUGAGCAACUCGCAGCAGAGCGUGCAGACCUUGUCCCUGUGGCUGAUCCACCACCGCAAGCACUCGCGGCCCAUCGUCACCGUGUGGGAGCGGGAGCUGCGGAAAGCCAAACCAAACAGAAAGCUUACGUUUCUGUACCUAGCCAAUGAUGUCAUUCAGAACAGCAAAAGGAAGGGGCCGGAGUUUACAAAAGAUUUUGCCCCAGUUAUAGUGGAAGCCUUUAAGCAUGUUUCAAGUGAAACUGAUGAAAGUUGUAAGAAGCACCUUGGAAGAGUGUUAUCUAUUUGGGAAGAAAGGUCUGUUUAUGAAAAUGAUGUAUUAGAACAACUUAAGCAAGCUCUUUAUGGUGAUAAGAAGCCUAGGAAGCGAACUUAUGAACAGAUACAGGUGGAUGAGAAUGAGAACUGUUCCUCUCUAGGAUCUCCAAGUGAACCACCACAGACUCUAGAUCUCGUUAGAGCAUUACAAGAUUUAGAAAAUGCAGCCUCAGGUGAUGCAGCAGUUCAUCAAAGGAUAGCUUCUUUGCCUGUUGAAGUUCAAGAAGUAUCUCUUCUAGAUAAAAUAACAGAUAAAGAAUCCGGAGAAAGACUUUCUAAAAUGGUAGAGGAUGCUUGUAUGUUGCUGGCAGAUUACAAUGGCAGAUUGGCGGCUGAAAUAGAUGAUAGGAAGCAACUCACUCGAAUGUUAGCAGAUUUUCUUCGUUGUCAAAAGGAAGCCCUUGCUGAGAAAGAGCAUAAAUUGGAAGUGCGUAACCUUUUCCUUAUUUAGUGCUUAUUUAUUUUUGGUAGGAAAUUUAAAAUAUCUUAAUGUUGCUGUGCAUUUUGCAUUUUUUAUUUUUUGACAUGGACCUUUUAAGACAAUGGCCCAGGUAAGCCACUCCUUGCAUUUAAUUGAUUUAUUUUUACUUGAACCAAAUCAUUCUGCCCUAGUAAAUUUAGAAAUUUAUUUGAACCAAAUUAUCCUACCUAAAGUAAAUUUAGAAGUUUGGAAUUAGUAAAAUUGGUUGCAUUUUAAAGUCAUUUAUGUGAAAUUCUAGUAAUAGUAAUUCAUCUUAAUGAGUUUAAACUCUUAUCUUCAAGAACAGAAAAUAACAGGAAAAUAGCAGAGGGUAUAAAGCCUGGUGUCAACUACAGUAAAUUAUGGUUGGAUUUACUUAAUCUCUUUUCUGAGUGCAUACAGUCUUUUGGGAAUACAAUUAAGAAACAAAGACUUUUUGUUAUGGAUAUGCCAGUCCCCAGUCUCUCUGUUUUUGAACAAUUCAUCAUUUGGCUCAGGAAAGUAAUCUUCAAGUUACUCUUUUGUUCCAUCCCUGAUUUUAAUACUUAGUAUAUUCCUACCCAGCUCCCAGCUCUGACAUACCCUUAGGUAGAAAGUUACUGCUUCUUUAAAUUGAAUGAUGAUUGAUAUUGUUGAAUAGAAAUGUGGAGGUGCAGAGGUUAAAAAAAACACUGUCAUAGUUCCUUUGAGCAGAGCAGCCAUUGUCAGGGGCAGAUGAACCAGAUUUGGUUUUAUUUAAAAGAAUCUUUCAUUUGAUUAGUCCUUGUUUAAAUUGUUUGCUACUAGAGUAAUUUCUUUUUCUAAUAAUAUGUAGGAGAAUUUCUAGUAUGUCUGGUCCCCCUUUUAAAGAGACAGUUCCCUUUAAAUUUGUAGGUAUGUCAUGAUGCUGCCUCUUAAUCUUUUAAGUAGCUUUUAUUUAUUAGAGCUUAGUUCUUGUUUCUUUAGUCUCUAAGUGUGCCAAAGAUGAAUACCAUUUCUACCUGUGGUAGCAGCUAAUUGGUUAAGUAUCAGUGGCAGAGCUCUCCUAUCCCAGAUUGUCAGCACUGUUUAGCAUUACCCCUUUUUAGUCUGUUCCUCCUCUGCUCACAUUUAGACACUCAGAACCUAGUUUUUGGCAUUGUGCUCUACCCUUGGAGAGGUUGCCCAAUUUUAUAUAGAAUGGAAAAGGCAGAAUUUUUCAAAAAAUAGCAUUUGUAGUUAACUUGCCAGUUCUUGAUCUUGUGAUGCUAUUUCAAUCCAAAACGUACUAUUACUUGUUUUGUUGUUAGCAGAAUUAAGGGUAAGUAAUGUCAUUCAAUUUUUGUCUUUAGUCUUUUGGAAUGGUUUCUUUAACUUCUAUUGAGCUUCUGUUGCAGGUAUUGGACAUGGGCGUAUCUUCUAACGAUGUCAUCAUCAUUAGCAUAUUCUUCCUGCUAAAAAUAAAUAAUCAAACUCCAAAGCCUGAAUUGUCUCAUGUUUUUGAAAAUUGGAGAUUACUUCUUUCUCACUUAAACUUCCUCAUAUAUCACCAGUUACAAAAAUAGCAUUUAUGUUUGAAAUGUAAGUGUAGAAAAAAAUAUAAGCUACCAUCCCAUCUAACCCCUUCUUUUCCCAGUGCCUUCCAGCCAGAUUUCAUGAUUGAUAAUUAUGGGGCCUGAGGCUGAUGAUAAUAAUGGCAGUAAAAUUCACCUUGUGUUAGGUACUGUUCUAAGCACUUCAUAUAUGUCAACUUAUUUAAUCCUGUAUAGCAGGAAAUGUUAUUAUCCCCAUUUAACAGAUGAAGAAAACUGAGAUAGAGAUUGAAUAACUUGUUCAAGGUAACAAAGAGGUAGUGAGUUGAUUAGAACCCAGGGAAUUUGCUUGCAAAACGACAAGUUUCCUUCCAGUUUUUACUUAUAAAAAUAUAAGACUACAGCAGUAGCUGAAGCACCAUCUCUCCAACUCUUUCUUCUUCCUCUUUCUACAGAAGUAAUCACUGUCUUGAAAUAAAGUGGUCUAGGGAAUUUUUGUUUGUUUGUUUUUCAUCAUGGCUGGGUUUUCAUAUUAUGAAGAAACCACCUAAAUAAUGUCAGAUGUUAACUUACAAGUAAAAAAAUUUAUAUUUCUAAUAAACUAGGAAGUUAUUCCAUAGAAUUCUUUGUAAAUUAUCUUUUUAACUAGGUGAUUCUUUUGUCAGAAGAUGUGAACGUGAUUUGAGAUACUUAGACAUCUUUUUGUAUCAAGUAGGUGGCAUCACUUUGAAGUUGAGACUGGGAGAUCAAGAUUUAUACUUACCUUAUCAGCUGUGAUAUCAUCAAAUAGUUUUCCCUUAUCAGGCAUCUUUGAACAUGAACUGUGAUUGACCAGGUAUUACUACAGAGAGCAUCUUGGUGAUGCAGGAAUACAAGCGCAAGUUAGCCAGGGUUUCCCUGGUGCGCAAAGAACUCAGGUCCCGGAUCCAGAGCCUGCCAGACUUAUCUCGAUUGCCCAAUGUCACUGGCAGCCACAUGCAUCUGCCCUUUGCGGGAGACAUCUACAGUGAAGAUUGAUGACCAGUCUCUUUCCAGGGCCCAGGACUUUGCAAGAGAUGGAGACAGGUUAGGUGGAUAGGCCUGUAGCGUUAUUUUUGUAUAUUGUUGAGAGAGUGACAUUAACAAAAGAAACAAGUAAUUUAUAAAAUUGUUUAAAAAUGUUGGUUUGUUUACUAUUUUAUUGGUAAGUUAACAUGACUUAGUUUAAACAAAGUGAUGAUCUCUGUGUAUUAAUAAGCUCACAAAUAGUGAUUAUUUUCAGAAGAUCUUUUUGUAAAUUUUUUUGAUCCAGGGCCUUGUGAGAAAUUCCAUGUUUCUAUUUCUUCAUGUAUUCGCAAGUGUUUUUCUUUAUUUUCUUCAAUAUCUAAUCACUGUAUAGUAUGUAAUUCCUAAAGGGUAAGAACUAAUCAGGAGCUGCUUGAGACUUUAUUAUGGUAUAGUUAGGACUUGAUUGUAGAAGGGACUAAAAGUUCCAACUUAAUUUUCACCCUUCUCCCCAACCAAAAUAUCAAUUCUGUGCCUCAAUCAAUACCUUUGAUUCCUUAUUCCUUAGAGGUCAGUAAUUUAACAUUAAACAUGGAUGUCAUUUUGAGGGUCAGAUCAGAACCUAGAGAACUUUACUACAAUAGCGUGAUAAGGGUUCCAUUCCAACUGCCAUCGUGUAGAAUAAAAGGAGUGUUAAUUAGGGACCCCCUUGAUUAAAACUGUUUUGAGUUAUUUGAAUAGAUUAACAUGAUAAUGCUUUGGAAAUGUCAUAAAUUUUGACAUUGUACCAAGAGAACAACUUUGAUUCUGGAACUGAUUUCCAUUUGUCAAAUCAGGCUCCUUUUAACAUAAUUGAUCCCUUUAAUGUAAAGCCAUCUGUGGGAUUAAAAGAAGUGUAAAAUAAUGAUACUUUAUUAUUCUCUUAGCCACUUAACUUUAAAAACAAUAGUAUUUUUAGCUCUAAUAUCUCAAGAACAAAAUAAUCACAAAUGUUCAGUAAAAUAACCUGGAACAUUUUUAAUGUUUCCUUACAGUUUUUGAAUGACUAUGUAUUUGAAAAUUGAGCAGUGCUACACUACAGGGUAGAUCUGGUAAAUAUUAUAUUUGUAUAUUUAGAAUUGCCAAGCAAAUGUACCUUGACCUUUUAUUUCUAACCCUGUGUGUUAGAGCAGUUGCAUGCUCUCCUGCUUUCUCUUUAACUCACAUUGUGAAACUGUGGAUUUUGUACUCAGUGAUGACUUAGGAGAAAUAUUAUUUUCAUUCAUUACAUAUUAGAUGUUUUUCUUUUCGUUGUAAGAAGAUUCAAAUUAGAUAGUCAAUAAAACAUCUUUUAAAUCCCACAAGCCAGUUAUGUCUCAGUAGUCUGAAUGGCUUCAUUCUCUUUCUCAGUAUUAGAGAUUAUAGUUAAAAUGAAUUUAUAUGUGAAGGAGAAGGCAAACAUUUAUUUUUAGUAGCCAAUAGUUUUGGGAACAGUGCUUUUAACAGUUUGACCUCUCUCCAAAAUAGAUACACAUAGAAGUAGUUCCCACACAUAUAUGGCUUAUAUCCCAAAGUUUUAUAGUCAACUUUAAAAAGGACUUGGGGCACUUUUUUUUUCUCACAGAAACAGUAGUAGUUAAGUUCCUUGUGAACACUACCACAGAAGACUAACCCAUGAACCUAAUCCACUUAACCAUGAAUGUACUUGACUUAUGAUGUAGUUGACAGGUUACUAGUAGUAGAUCCUGACCAGCAUUUGUAACAUCACUCUUCACUAAGGAAAUGGUGUGUAGCAGCCAGGCUCACACAUUAGGGUGUCUGUUGUGUGUACCUCUGUCCCUAGGUGUAGGAUACUUAAGGAGAAGAUGCAGCAUGGAGGUGGAGAGUGUAACAAAUGCACAAUUAUAGAAAAACCUGGUCACAUGUGUUAUAAAAUAUGCCACUUACGUUAGCUUUUGUUGUUAAAACGAAAGCAAAACCUUGUAUAUUAAUUUAUUUUCAACAUACUGACCAUCUUUAUGAUCUGCUAAAGUGAUUUAUUUGUUAAAGAUAUUUUCAUUUCCAUUUAAAACUAAUUUAUAAACUGUGUACUCCUGGGAAGAUUUGAAACUUGUCAAAAUAUUUUCACCGUUUAAGACAGACUUCUGACUUAGAUACUGAUUUUAAUAUCAGUAUCUGCUCUAAAUAUUUAUGAUAAAAAUGCAUUAUUUUUUUAAAGAGCUUGUUGCGAUUUGUGAUGAGUGAUAGCACUCAACCUGAUUCCUACCCCCAUUUUCACCCUUUGACAAAUCCUCCACAAGCCUUCAGUUGUUGGUUAAUUCACUGACUGUAAACACAAACGUUACAGUCUGUUUCAGAAGUUAUGUUGUCAGCCUUAUGGUAGUUAACAUAGUAAGCCUUAGCAGUAAAUAGUCUUCCUUUCUAAAAGGUAGAUUACAUUUUCUCAAGUAGUGGGGUUGGAUGGGGGUACUAAAAUACCAAAUUCUAAAUCAUGAGCAUUUUCUUCACUGUGUACGUGAGGUAAUCAUGCAUCUUUGAGUGUAGCUUCGUCUGGCCCCUCAAAAGAAAAGCACGUCACCGUAAGUGCAGUGGGGGUUUUUGGUUUGAAUGGAUACCAUCACUCUUUUCUCCACAAACAGUGCAGAGACCUGGCUGAGGUGGCAAUUUGAACAGAUUCCCUUGUGUUCCCUCUGCUUCUUCCGUCACUCCAGUAAGUAAAUCACCACAUGGGGGAACCCAGGGGUCUGGGAAAAUCAGCUGUGCUCAAUAGCCAACCUCCCCUUCUGUGAAAACCAGUGCAGGUGCAGCCAUUUUGGUACCUCUUCUCAUAUGCACUCCGAAUCAGGGUGUUUUAUAUGAACUUAUAAAGGAUCAGCAAAAGCUGGAAUAACCUGGUCAUCUUGAUUAGCGAAAUCAAAAUAACAAAACUGGGUUGUCAUUGUCACGGUAGAUGAGCAACUCACCUCUUUUCACUGUUGAACUGGUUCAGAAAAAUCUUCAGAAAGAAAACACUCAGAAGUACAAAUUGGGAAAGUUAGGAUGUCCUUUCUGAAUUUUCCUUUCAAAAAGUUUAUAUUAUAUGAAAUUACAUAAAGCUACUAAACUACUUUGUAUUCUAUUAAGAGGUAGCUCCUAAGAUGUAGUCUUGUUUAAUAGUUGUUGCACUAUAUCAAAGCUUUUUAAAGUGUAAACUCAGUUCUUCCUCUGUAGAAAGGGAGCAUUGUGUUACUGAAUUUAUUUAUGCAGAGCAUUGGUUGCGACCUGUAAUUCCAGCCAUCCACACACCAGUCUGUUCUGAGGUGGCAACAGCACACGGGAAGAUGAACUUUCCCUAUUUCUUUACCCCUUUUUCUUUGGUUGUAUCUGAUGACAAUAUGAGAUGUUCUUAAUAAAAGUUUUAUGUUCUUUUUGA